UCGUCUUCGGACGUAGUUUGUUGACUCUGAAUAACGUAGCUAAUCGACGGUUAAUCCGUCGAUAACCGAAAGAAGUGUCUGCCCUAUCAACCAGAUGGUAGUCUAUUAGUCUACCAUGGUUAUCACGGGUAACGGAGAAUCAGGGUUCGGCUCCGGAGAGGGAGCCUUAGAAACGGCUACCACAUCCAAGGAAGGCAGCAGGCA
This 204-nucleotide ribosomal RNA is filed under the name Rhabditidae sp. 1 JAL-2013. Its description in RNAcentral is "partial 18S ribosomal RNA". It matches the Rfam family "Eukaryotic small subunit ribosomal RNA", at positions 227 to 433 of the family's 1831-position model. Lineage: Eukaryota; Metazoa; Nematoda; Chromadorea; Rhabditida; Rhabditidae. The record is from RNAcentral.